Molecule: small nucleolar RNA, 215 nt
Organism: Sorex fumeus (smoky shrew)
Lineage: Eukaryota; Metazoa; Chordata; Mammalia; Eulipotyphla; Soricidae
Product: small nucleolar RNA U3
Exons: 1
Source: RefSeq, a predicted model, not a curated record
AAGACUGUAUAUUCGGGGAUCAUUUCUAUAGUUUGUUAUUAGAGAAGUUUCUCUGAUCAUAUUAGAGCACCCAAAACCACAAGGAGGGCUCAGAGCAUUCUCUCCUGUGUGUGAAGCUGGUUUUAGGUAUUGCUUUUGUCACUGCCUUUUUACCAUUAAUGAUCGUUCUUCUCUUCCGUUGGAAGAGGGAGAGGAUGCAGUCUGUUACAUGCGGU